GAUGAACGCUGGCGGCGUGCCUAAUACAUGCAAGUCGAGCGAAGAGACGAUGAGCUUUCUCCUCUGACGUUAGCGGCGGACGGGGGAGUAACACGUGGGUAACCUACCUAUAAGACUGGGAUAACUUCGGGAAACCGGAUCUAAUAUCGGGUAAUAUAUGGAACUGUAGGGUUCAAUAGUGAAGGACGGUUUUGCUGUUACUUAUAGUUGGAUCCGCGUCGCAUUAGCUAGUUGGUAAGGUAACGGCUUAUCAAGGCAACGAUGCGUAGCCGACCUGAGAGGGUGAGCGGCCCCAUCGGAACUGAGCCACGAUCCAGACUCCUAUGGGAGGGAGGGGUAGGGAAUCGACCACAGUGGGCGAAAGCCUAGCGGAACGACGCCACGUGAGUGAUGAGAGUCUGGGCAUCGUAAUACUCUGCUAUUAGGGCAGAACAAAUGUGUAAGUCCCUAUGCACGUCUUGACGGUACCUAAUCAGAAAGCCCCGGCUAACUACGUG
Molecule: ribosomal RNA, 497 nt
Filed under: uncultured bacterium
Lineage: Bacteria
Description: partial 16S ribosomal RNA
Rfam family: Bacterial small subunit ribosomal RNA
Source: RNAcentral